This 89-nucleotide ribosomal RNA is filed under the name uncultured organism. Its description in RNAcentral is "partial 16S ribosomal RNA". The record is from RNAcentral.
GCAUAAAAAAACCUCCGAAAGAUUUUAACUAAGACACACAAGUCAAAGUAAUAAUUAUCCUAUUGACCCAAUUUUUGAUCAACGGACCA